RNAcentral lists this ribosomal RNA (407 nucleotides) under uncultured bacterium. Its description in RNAcentral is "bacterial SSU rRNA". It matches the Rfam family "Bacterial small subunit ribosomal RNA", at positions 355 to 776 of the family's 1533-position model. The record is from RNAcentral.
UGGGGAAUAUUGGGCAAUGGGCGAAAGCCUGACCCAGCGACGCCGCGUGAAGGAAGAAGGUCUUCGGAUUGUAAACUUCAGUAGGCAGGGACGAAGGAAGUGACGGUACCUGCAGAGUAAGCCACGGCCAACUACGUGCCAGCAGCCGCGGUAAUACGUAGGUGGCGAGCGUUAUCCGGAUUUACUGGGUGUAAAGGGUGUGUAGGCGGGGCUGCAAGUCUGGUGUGAAAUUUAACGGCUUAACCGUUAAUGUGCAUUAGAAACUGCGGCUCUUGAGGGGCGGAGGGGUAAACGGAAUUCCCGGUGUAGCGGUAAAAUGCGUAGAUAUCGGGAGGAACACCAGUGGCGAAGGCGGUUUACUGGACGGCAACUGACGCUGAGACACGAAAGCGUGGGGAGCAAACAGG